ACUUAAAUUGAAGAGUUUGAUCAUGGCUCAGAUUGAACGCUGGCGGCAGGCCUAACACAUGCAAGUCGAGCGGUAGCACAGAGAGCUUGCUCUCGGGUGACGAGCGGCGGACGGGUGAGUAAUGUCUGGGAAACUGCCUGAUGGAGGGGGGUAACUACUGGAAACGGUAGCUAAUACCGCAUAACGUCGCAAGACCAAAGUGGGGGACCUUCGGGCCUCAUGCCAUCAGAUGUGCCCAGAUGGGAUUAGCUAGUAGGUGGGGUAACGGCUCACCUAGGCGACGAUCCCUAGCUGGUCUGAGAGGAUGACCAGCCACACUGGAACUGAGACACGGUCCAGACUCCUACGGGAGGCAGCAGUGGGGAAUAUUGC
RNAcentral lists this ribosomal RNA (372 nucleotides) under Klebsiella pneumoniae. RNAcentral's name for it is "bacterial SSU rRNA". It matches the Rfam family "Bacterial small subunit ribosomal RNA", at positions 1 to 367 of the family's 1533-position model. Lineage: Bacteria; Pseudomonadati; Pseudomonadota; Gammaproteobacteria; Enterobacterales; Enterobacteriaceae. The record is from RNAcentral.